GCCGAGGUAGCCAAGUGGCCAAAGGCGACGGACUCAAGAUCCGUUCUCGUAGGAGUUCGUGGGUUCAAAUCCCAUCCUCGGCACCA
RNAcentral lists this transfer RNA (86 nucleotides) under Candidatus Thorarchaeota archaeon SMTZ1-83. RNAcentral's name for it is "tRNA-Leu". It matches the Rfam family "tRNA". Rfam says of the family: Transfer RNA (tRNA) molecules are approximately 80 nucleotides in length. Lineage: Archaea; Promethearchaeati; Candidatus Thorarchaeota. The record is from RNAcentral. RNAcentral also lists the same sequence under 1 other name.